UGUGCACAUAGGCACCUGGGGAGACAAUUACGUGGUUGACAUGACGUCCCCAACAAGGGGAUCCGUCAGAUAGCAAGUCUAAAUUUCUAAAAAAGACGUGGUUGAGAAAAAUUUAAAAAAAAGAUGUGGUUGAGAAAAAUUUAAUGAAGCAUGGAAAAAAUUAAACAUGACAGCAUAACCAAUUUGAUGACUCGGUGAAUCCCAUUUUAUAGCAGGAUCCAAGACUGCCCAG
This 232-nucleotide long non-coding RNA is filed under the name Amborella trichopoda. Its description in RNAcentral is "long non-coding RNA (ATRI_LNC003562)". The record is from RNAcentral. Lineage: Eukaryota; Viridiplantae; Streptophyta; Magnoliopsida; Amborellales; Amborellaceae.